AAUAGGCGUAGGAGGAACUCUGCCACAAUUCUCCAGCUCUUACAAGGUAUUCGUGCUGGAAUGUUGGCUGAGUCGGAGAACCCUAAUCCUGAGAAUGAAAACAGGGACACAGGUAGAGAGUAGGGAUCGUGAGCGUGUUAUACUUAUAAAUCCGUUCAAUCAAACCAUCAUUGUGCAGGGUUCGGAUAAUAAUUCCAGGAACCAACCUAUUGACUCAUUGGGUGAUUAU
RNAcentral lists this unclassified non-coding RNA (229 nucleotides) under Hevea brasiliensis (rubber tree). Lineage: Eukaryota; Viridiplantae; Streptophyta; Magnoliopsida; Malpighiales; Euphorbiaceae. The record is from RNAcentral.